UGUGGUUUGAGCCUUAUGACUCUACUUCUCUUGAAGAUAACGAAGCUGUAAAGCGAGCUCUUGCCAUUGAACUAGAUUGGUAAGUUAUUACAAGCUUUAGAUCAAAGCAAAAUAGUUAAUGUAUAUCUUCUUGUAAUGAUAUAGAUAUUUAUUGAUCGAAUAUGGUAUUUUAGGCAUUUAGAUCCAGUUAUCCACGGAGAUUAUCCAGAAACACUAAAGAAACAAGUCGGAAAGAGAUUAUCUUCUUUCACCGCAGAACAAUCCAGAAUGUUAAAAAAUUCAUCGGAUUUCAUUGGAGUAAACUAUUAUACUGCACGCUACAUUGUUCAUCUUCCUCACGUUGACCCUGCACGACCUCGAUUCAAGACUGAUCAACAGUUGGAAUGGAGAGGUAAGAAUGCUAAUUUUAAUAUCCGUUUAUGAUAUUCUUAGGAUUUUGUUGGUUUUUUCCUCCCUUAGCCCAAAACCCAAAAAUCAUGAUCUAUAUUAAGCAAUUAUCUAGAAUUAUGGAGAAGAAGAGAGAAAGUUAUGGAGUAGAAUAAUUAAUGUUAGAUAUUUUGAAAUAAGAUAAUAAUUUAGAGAAAUCUAGAACAUGUUAGAGUUUGCUCCUUCACUUGUAUAAAUAGGGGUGCUUAGCACCAUUUGUAUCAUCCAAGAAUCAAGAAAAGCAAUUGAGAGAAAACAUUCAAGAAAGAGUUUUAAGAAAGUUUCUAAAAGAAUCUCCAAGCACAAGCCUUAGUAGAAAAUUCCUUUCCCAAAUACAAAAGCUAUCUCAAACAUAAACCGUCUACAUUCCAUCUUAAACUCUCAAAGAAAAUAUUAUCCGCUAAUUUUCCCAAUAGCUGGUAUCAGAGCAAGGUUGCCGUUAUCUUGAAGAAGUGAAGAUGGAGGCCACCGUUACCUUUGAAGGUGACAUGUUCAAGCUCACGACGGACAACUUCUCUUAUUGGAAACCGAUGAUUGAAGAUCACCUUUAUUAUAAGGAUUUGCAUGAGCCCAUCAUCAUGAAGGAUAAGCCGGAAGGAAAGGAUGAUAAAGCAUGAGAGAUUCUUAAUAGAAAAGCGGUUGCCGUAAUACGCAAGUAUGUCGACCGAUCUCUCUUUGAACAUGUCUCUACCUACACAAAUGCUUUUGAAUUAUGGACAAAACUUGAAUCCAUGAUUCAAAAGAAAACACCUCGAAACAAAGCUCUUCUUGUUCGACGGUUGGUAAAGUUGGAGUACAAGGAUGGCCAGAGCAUGAUGGAGCACUUGAACAAUUUCAAGGGGAUUGUAAAUCAGCUUAACAAAGUUGAUAUGAAGGUUGAAGACGAAAUGCAAGCCCUUUUACUCCUUAGUUCACUACCGGAGAGUUGGGACACACUAGUUGUCACUCUAAGCAAUUCAGCACCGGAGGGAAAGCUUACCAUGGACACCGUCACUGACAGCCUUCUAAACGAAGAAGUUCGCAGGAAGGAGCGAGGUUCGAGUUCUUAUUCAGAAGCUAACAUUGUUGAUAGACGAGGUAGAGAAGAGACUCGUGGCCAAAACAGAAGCAGAGGACGAGACCAAUCUUGAGGAAGAUCUAAGUCACGUCCAAGAGUUACUUGCUAUUACUGUGGCAAACCGGGUCACAAGAAGUCGGAAUGUCGGUUUUUCAAGAAAGACAAACAAGCAGGUAACAUCAAACCAGACCGGCUCAAUCCUACAAAGAAGCAUGAAGACAAGACUACCACCAUUGUGGAAGACCAGAGCGAAGAAUUAUAUCUCGUUGGAGAAUGUAAUCUUAGCUCAGAUGAUAGCUCAUGAAUCGUUGAUUCUGGUGCUUCUUUUCACGUCACCCCCCAUGGAAGCUUUUUCACAACCUACCAAAGUGGUGACUUUGGUAAUGUUCAAAUGGGAAAUCAAGGGAGAAGCAAGAUUGUUGGAAAGGGGGAUGUUAUUCUUACAUCAAACACAGGGUGUAAGAUAGUUCUCAAGGAUGUGAGACAUGUUCCCGACAUGCGACUCAAUCUCAUAUCAACCGGGAAGCUUGAUGAUGACGGUUUGGAUAGCCACUUUGGCAGUGGAAAAUGGAAGCUAACCAAGGGGAGUUUGAUCAUGGCUCGAGGAAGAAAAGAAGGCUCUUUAUAUGUAACACAAGCCAAGCUUUGCAAGGAAGAAGUAAAUGUCGCAAGUGAUGACAUCGAUAUAUGGCACCGAAGACUCGGGCAUAUGAGUGAGAAAGGUUUAAAUAUACUUUCUCGCAAGAAGUUUCUUCCUGAUAUGAAAGGUAUUUCUCUCUCACCAUGUCAUGAUUGUUUAGCCGGAAAACAACAUAGGGUCGCUUUCCGAAGAUCAUCUACGCCUAUGAGAAGAAAGCAUAUUCUUGAUCUUGUGCAUACUGACGUAUGCUCUAUGUCCGAGAAAUCCAAUGGAGGGGCAUCAUAUUUCGUCACCUUUAUUGAUGACCAUUCAAGGAAGGUAUGGGUAUACCUUUUGAAGUCAAAAGAUCAGGUUCUUGAUGCUUUCAAGGAGUUUGUAGCCCAAGCAGAGCGAAGUACGGGUCAAAAACUCAAGUGUGUUCGAUCUGACAAUGGUGGAGAGUAUCGAGGUCCCUUUGAAGCGUUUUGCAAAGCUCAUGGAAUCAGAAUGGAGAAGACACCACCAAAUACGCCACAACUGAACGGGCUAGCAGAAAGAAUGAAUCGAACGAUCACAGAAAGAGUUCGGUGCAUGCUCUCUCACGCUAAACUACCCAAGCCAUUUUGGGGAGAAGCCAUAAAGACUGCAGUGGACGUCAUAAAUCUUACACCAUCAGUUCCUUUGGAAGGCGAUGUCCCGGAGGAAGUUUGGUCGGGUAAGAAGGUCUCUUACAACCAUUUGAAGGUGUUCGGUUGCAGAGCAUUUGUCCAUAUACCUAAGGAUGAACGGGCCAAGCUAGACUCCAAGACUAAAGAGUGCAUCUAUCUUGGGUCACCAAGAGAUGAUUUCGGCUAUCGGCUUUGGGAUCCGGUUAACAGAAAAAUUAUCCGGAGCAGAGAUGUUGUUUUCUUCGAAGAUCAAACAAUCGAAGACAUCAACAAAUCAAAGAAACCAAAGCUAAGGGUUGUAAGGAAUGAAGAUUCUCAUAAGCCUCAAGAUCAUGAACAAGUGAUUGGAGAUGAUGGCGAAGGGGAUCCUAUCAUGGAUCCGAAUGGUGAUGAAGGUGAAGAAGAAGUUCAAGUGGAGCCAGAGGAAGAACAUGAGCCAAGAAGGUCUGGAAGAGAGACAAGACCAUCUGUAAGAUAUUAUCGAGAUGAGUACGUUAAUCUUACAGAUGAGGGGGAGCCUCAAAGCUAUAAGGAGGCCAUAGUAGACACUCAUAGAGAUGAGUGGGUUGAAGUUAUGCAAGAUGAAAUGCAAUCCUUGCAUGAUAAUCACACUUAUGAGCUGAUGAAGCUACCAAAAGGAAAGAGAGCCUUAAAGAACAAGUGGGUGUACAGGUUGAAGUAUGAAGAGAGAAGCUCAAAUCUAAGAUACAAAGCUCGUUUGGUUGUGAAAGGAUUCAACCAGAAGAAAGGCAUAGAUUUUGAAGAAAUAUUCUCUCCAGUGGUGAAGAUGUCCUCUAUCCGAGUGGUUCUUGGUCUAGCAGCGGUUCUAGACUUGGAGAUUGAACAACUCGAUGUCAAGACGGCCUUUCUACAUGGUGAACUCGAGGAGGAGAUCUAUAUGGAGCAACCUGAAGGAUUCAAGAUUCCAGGAAAAGAAGACUUGGUUUGCCGAUUAAAGAAGAGUCUUUACGGCCUCAAGCAAGCUCUAAGACAAUGGUACAAGAAGUUUGACUCCUUCAUGGUGGAUCAUAACUUCAAGAAAACCAAGAAUGAUCACUGCGUUUUCAUAAAGAUGUAUGAAAGCGGCGACUUUCUCAUAUUAUUGCUCUAUGUUGACGAUAUGUUAGUUGUGGGGCAAGAUCGCAACAAGAUAGCCGCAUUGAAGAAAGAUUUGGGAAGGAGUUUUGCGAUGAAAGAUCUGGGGCAAGCGAGACAGAUUCUUGGAAUGAAGAUCACUCGGGAUAGGCCAAAGAAAAUUUUAUGGUUGUCCCAAGAACGAUAUGUUGAAAGGGUGUUGGAGAGAUUCAACAUGCACAAAGCAAAGCCGGUGAGCACUCCACUUGGUGGACAUUUCAAGCUAACUUCGAAGCAAAGUCCAACUAGUGAGAAGGAUAAAGAGGAAAUGAAGACUACCCCAUAUGCAUCAGCAGUGGGCAGUCUCAUGUAUGCUAUGGUGUGCACCAGACCCGACAUUGCCUAUGCCGUAGGAGUUGUGAGUCGCUUUCUCGCCAAUCCAGGAAAAGAACAUUGGAAAGCAGUUAAGUGGAUCCUACGCUAUCUACGAGGCACAACGAAGAAGUGUCUAUGUUUUGGAAAUGGAAAAUUGGAGUUGAACGGUUACACCGAUGCAGAUUGGGCUGGUGAUAAAGAUUCAAGGAAAUCGACAUCAGGAUUCGUGACUACCUUUGCAGGGGGAGCUGUUUCUUGGCAAUCGAAGCUACAAAAGUGUGUUGCCUUAUCCACCACAGAAGCGGAGUACAUUGCAGCAACGGAAGCGUGCAAGGAGAUGCUAUGGAUGAAGAACUUCUUGCUUGAGUUGGGAGUAAAGCAAGAAAAGUACAACAUGUUAUGUGACAACCAAAGUGCUAUUCACUUAGCAAAGAAUCCAACGUUUCACUCUCGCUCAAAGCACAUCGAUAUCCGACAUCACUGGAUCCGAGAAGUUCUGGAAGAGAAGCUCAUACAUCUCACAAAGGUACACACCGACGAAAACUGGUCAGACUUUAUGACCAAGGUAUUACCGAUUAAGAAGUUUGAAGAUUGCUGCAAAGGCACCGGCAUGACAACGGUUUCGGGCUAAGUCGGAAAGGGGGAAAUUUGUUGGUUUUUUCCUCCAUUAGCCCAAAACCCAAAAAUCAUGAUCCAUAUUAAGAGCCCAAAAGAAAAGCACAAGGAUGAAGAAUUAUCUAGAAGAAGAGAGAAAGUUAUGGAGUAGAAUAAUUAAUGUUAGAUAUUUUGAAAUAAGAUAAUAAUUUAGAGAAAUCUAGAACAUGUUAGAGUUUGCUCCUUCACUUGUAUAAAUAGAGGUGUUUAGCACCAUUUGUAUCAUCCCACAUCAAGCAAAGCAAUAGAGAGAAAACAUUUCAUAAAGAGUUCUAAGAGUGUUUAAGAAAUCUCCAAACACAAGCCUUAGUGAAAAUCUCUUUCCCAAAAAUAAGAAGGUUAUCUUAACCACUAACCAUCCACAUUCCAUCUCAACCUCUCAAAGAAAUUAUUAUCCGAUAAUUUUCCCAACAGAUUUGAAUGGUAACCAAGGGAAUAAAGAGAAACACUACAUUCCUUAACGUUCCUCAAAAAUGUUAUCAUUCAUAAGGAAUAUGUUUUCCUCUUCAUUCCUUCUCAUUUCCUUUUUUUUGUAGAGAAUUAUAAUGCAAAUUUUGUUCUUUGUUAAUUUUGAUAAAGAACCCUCAUUCCUCAUCAUUCCCAAAUUUUUUAUUCAUAUUCAUUUUUUUCCUAUUCUUUUCUAAUGUUCCUCGAUGGUUACCGGUCACGACUUUAGUGAAACUAAUUAACUCAAGGUAUUUUUUUCAUGUCUGUUUUUAACAGUAACAAAUCACAGUAAUCACCAAAUAGACAAAAGUUAAUAAAAAGAGCUUGUAAAAGUUAAUAAAAAGAGCUGAAAUUUUAUAAAUAUCAACUAAGAUUCUAAGAAUAUUAAUGUUUCCUUGGUCACACAGGAAGAUCGAGGCAUACUCCACUCAGUACCAGAAGGUUUAUCAAAGAUAAAUACAAUAACCCUACAGUCUAUAUUAAAGAGAACGGUGAGAAUCUUUGUAUAGAUUUUUUUUCCUCUAAUAAAAUUUGGAUACGUUGUUAACUUUUAUUUGCUAUAAAUGAUUUCUAUAGGAAUUAAUGACUACGACGACGGUACAAAAUCACGAGAGGAUAUUCUCAAGGAUACAUUUAGGAUAAAGUACCACGAGGACCAUCUCGAACAACUCCACAAAGCUGUAAUGUAAAUACUGUUCAAUAAUUUUAUUAAAAAUUAGUUUCAAACAAACAUUUGCAUAUAUUUAUAAGACAUUCAUAUAUAUAUAUAUAUAUAUAUAUAUGAAAUUAUCAAUUCACAAAAAUCACAAAUAAUCAUAGAAAAUAUAAUGUUUAUUUUUGUAAUAUUUUUAAAGAUAAUGUUUUUAAGUAGAUGAAACAAUUUCACAUGUAACAAAAAGGAAAUUUGUCCUUUCAUAAUUUCAUUACACAGUUUUCUUAAUGAUUUAAAUACCUUUUUAAUCGUUAUAACAGGGAGGAUGGAUGUGACGUCAGAGGAUAUUACGCAUGGUCUUUACUUGAUAAUUUUGAGUGGGAGCAUGGAUAUUCUACUAGGUUCGGUCUGUAUUUUGUUGACUACGACAACAAUCUCGAGCGGUAUCCCAAAGAUUCCGUUAAAUGGUUCAAAGAAUUUCUCAGUAGAGUUAGCAAGAGUGGUCAGGAAAGAGAGGAAGAACAAGUAUGGGAUGUAACACGUGAGAGGUCAAGUCAGGAAAAGAAUAAUAAGACUCUUGACGAUCCAGAAGGUUUCGAGGCGUCAGUUAGCACGAUUAUGUAUCUCAUGACGAACGCAUCGAGAAGAAAAGAAGAAGAGAGAGAUCGUUGCACUUUCGAUAUUCCUUAUACUCGGUUGGGUUUGUUGUUGGGUUCCGAUGCUUUUUUUGGACCCUAGAAAAAUAUUUUGUUGAUAGCACUUUCGUCGCAAAACAUUAGUCGC
RNAcentral lists this long non-coding RNA (6755 nucleotides) under Brassica napus (rape). RNAcentral's name for it is "long non-coding RNA (BNAP_LNC014879)". The record is from RNAcentral. Lineage: Eukaryota; Viridiplantae; Streptophyta; Magnoliopsida; Brassicales; Brassicaceae.